Molecule: ribosomal RNA, 656 nt
Filed under: uncultured bacterium
Lineage: Bacteria
Description: bacterial SSU rRNA
Rfam family: Bacterial small subunit ribosomal RNA
Source: RNAcentral
GUGCCAGCAGCCGCGGUAAUACAGAGGGUGCGAGCGUUAAUCGGAUUUACUGGGCGUAAAGCGUGCGUAGGCGGCUUUUUAAGUCGGAUGUGAAAUCCCCGAGCUUAACUUGGGAAUUGCAUUCGAUACUGGGAAGCUAGAGUAUGGGAGAGGAUGGUAGAAUUCCAGGUGUAGCGGUGAAAUGCGUAGAGAUCUGGAGGAAUACCGAUGGCGAAGGCAGCCAUCUGGCCUAAUACUGACGCUGAGGUACGAAAGCAUGGGGAGCGAACAGGAUUAGAUACCCUGGUAGUCCAUGCCGUAAACGAUGUCUACUAGCCGUUGGGGCCUUUGAGGCUUUAGUGGCGCAGCUAACGCGAUAAGUAGACCGCCUGGGGAGUACGGUCGCAAGACUAAAACUCAAAUGAAUUGACGGGGGCCCGCACAAGCGGUGGAGCAUGUGGUUUAAUUCGAUGCAACGCGAAGAACCUUACCUGGCCUUGACAUACUAGAAACUUUCCAGAGAUGGAUUGGUGCCUUCGGGAAUCUAGAUACAGGUGCUGCAUGGCUGCCGUCAGCUCGUGUCGUGAGAUGUUGGGUUAAGUCCCGCAACGAGCGCAACCCUUUUCCUUACUUGCCAGCAUUUCGGAUGGGAACUUUAAGGAUACUGCCAGUGACAA